This is a small nucleolar RNA of Acomys russatus (golden spiny mouse), 131 nucleotides long. RefSeq annotates it as small nucleolar RNA SNORA17. The record is from RefSeq and is a predicted model, not a curated record. The transcript has a single exon. NCBI's taxonomy places the organism in Eukaryota, Metazoa, Chordata, Mammalia, Rodentia, Muridae.
CCUGCACUAGAGGCAUUGCAGGUGUAGCUCCUGUGUCACAUAUGUAUCACUAGGUGGCAGAGAUGGGAGAGGCUAUGUCUAUGUUCAGUGUCCUUACCUACGAACAUCUGAAUUAUUAGUAGCCUAACAUU